ACGAAGCACUUGCUGCUUCUCUGACGAGUGGCGGACGGGUGAGUAAUGUCUGGGAAACUGCCUGAUGGAGGGGGAUAACUACUGGAAACGGUAGCUAAUACCGCAUAACGUCGCAAGACCAAAGAGGGGGACCUUCGGGCCUCUUGCCAUCGGAUGUGCCCAGACGGGAUUAGCUAGUAGGUGGGGUAACGGCUCACCUAGGCGACGAUCCCUAGCUGGUCUGAGAGGAUGACCAGCCACACUGGAACUGAGACACGGUCCAGACUCCUACGGGAGGCAGCAGUGGGGAAUAUUGCACAAUGGGCGCAAGCCUGAUGCAGCCAUGCCGCGUGUAUGAAGAAGGCCUUCGGGUUGUAAAGUACUUUCAGCGGGGAGGAAGGCGAUAAGGUUAAUAACCUUGUCGAUUGACGCUACCCGCAGAAGAAGCACCGGCUAACUCCGUGCCAGCAGCCGCGGUAAUACGGAGGGUGCAAGCGUUAAUCGGAAUUACUGGGCGUAAAGCGCACGCAGGCGGUCUGUCAAGUCGGAUGUGAAAUCCCCGGGCUCAACCUGGGAACUGCAUUCGAAACUGGCAGGCUAGAGUCUUGUAGAGGGGGGUAGAAUUCCAGGUGUAGCGGUGAAAUGCGUUAGAUCUGGA
Molecule: ribosomal RNA, 637 nt
Filed under: uncultured bacterium
Lineage: Bacteria
Description: bacterial SSU rRNA
Rfam family: Bacterial small subunit ribosomal RNA
Source: RNAcentral